Molecule: ribosomal RNA, 425 nt
Filed under: uncultured bacterium
Lineage: Bacteria
Description: bacterial SSU rRNA
Rfam family: Bacterial small subunit ribosomal RNA
Source: RNAcentral
GUGGGGAAUAUUGGACAAUGGGCGCAAGCCUGAUCCAGCCAUGCCGCGUGAGUGAUGAAGGCCUUAGGGUUGUAAAGCUCUUUCGUCAGGGAAGAUAAUGACGGUACCUGAAGAAGAAGCCCCGGCUAACUUCGUGCCAGCAGCCGCGGUAAUACGAAGGGGGCUAGCGUUGCUCGGAAUCACUGGGCGUAAAGCGCACGUAGGCGGCUUUCUAAGUCAGGGGUGAAAUCCUGGAGCUCAACUCCAGAACUGCCUUUGAUACUGGAGAGCUUGAGUUCGGGAGAGGUGAGUGGAACUGCGAGUGUAGAGGUGAAAUUCGUAGAUAUUCGCAAGAACACCAGUGGCGAAGGCGGCUCACUGGCCCGAUACUGACGCUGAGGUGCGAAAGCGUGGGGAGCAAACAGGAUUAGAUACCCGGGUAGUCC